UAUGUCAAAAUAAAUGAAAUACAAACAUUCAAAUUUUCAAUUAUAUUAUUUGUAUUAUUACAAAAAUAGCUCAUGCUGUUUUCUUAUAUAAAUUAUAGUAUAUAAAAUAGUUUAUUUCAUGUCAAUUAUUUGUCUAUAAAGAAUUAAAGUCAGCAUGAUAAGUACAUAAGUGAAUUAUAGUCACCAUUUAUAACAUGAGCAAACAAUUCUUCAGGAGUUUCUCCAAAAAAAGGAACACAUCCAAUAAGAAAUUCAUAUAAGAUGAUUCCCAUGGACCACCAAUCAACAGGUUUCCCUGUUUAAAAAGAAAGAGAAGCCCUGACGAAGUAUAACUUCUGGAGCAAUAUAUUCUGGAGUGCCAUAUACUUGCUUGUCAUUGAACUGUUUAGUUUCUCUAUCAAGAUAACCCUCAUAGAGAUUAGUUGCCACUAUAAGAAGACUUCGAGAUCGAGGACGUAUCAAAGGAGAUCUCUGCCCAUCAUCUUCAAAUCCAAGAUUGCUUUCGUUACUGCUGAAAUGUGAAGCUUGGUUGUUUUCAUCAGGUGUUGGAGUUGAUUGAUUUGGAAGAGGAUGUAACUUUUCCUGUGAUGAACACUGAGACUUGGGAGAGAUGGACAGAGUGGGCUUCAGAAAAACUACAGAAGUAACAGCUUUUACUGCUCCCAUCUGCUUCAAAGAAUAUCAACCAGAUGAACAUUUGGGAUAAACGUUCAUAAUGAGAUGGUUGCAGAAAUCGAAUCCAGAUCGUCCUUCUUCCUCGAUUUCCCAACGUUUCGCCUAAUGUCUCUGAAAACAAAAGGAGCGAUCACCCACUUGAGAACGGAGUAUCCUAAUUAUUAAUAGAUGAACGCAUUACUUCGUCUUAAAGGAGCAGCAUUUGCUCCACCCUGUGAUGGAUAGCAUACGGAUAAAAACAUGCUAUAUCGUCUACUUAAUUUCUUCAAGUCUCAAUGUCACACGCAAUUUACCAAUCGAUAAAAUGGGGGAGAACUGGAAUUACGUCAUUAAUAAAGUUACGACAAGUUUUAUCGCCAAUAAUCUAUACUGUAAAGUAUAUAAAUUAUUAUAUAUAAUUGCUGAAAUUUAUGAUCGGUAAAAAAAAAAAAGUCGUUUAAAAAUUCUUAAUGAAAUGAAAUUCGGAUUAAAAUAAUUUUAAAAAAGUAAAUAAAGAGAAGUCAAAAAGAACCCAGAUUACUCAUAUAUUUUCGUGUUUUUUUUUUCUUCCGCAAAGUACGACUUCGCCGCAGCAUUCUAUCAAAACUCAGAAGUGCAACAUCGGAUUUUCUUAGUAAAUGACACACGAGUUUCCAAAAAAACAACACACUUAAGUAGUAAAAAUAGCUUCUCAUUUAGCAACUAAACUUGUUUUGCGGAAAUGUCAAUAUAUUGAGAAACUUUCUUAGGCUUCCAACUUUUCGACCAUCGCAAAAAAAGAAAUAAUAUUGUUUU
Long non-coding RNA from Centruroides sculpturatus (bark scorpion), 1449 nucleotides. RefSeq lists it as uncharacterized. The record is from RefSeq and is a predicted model, not a curated record. NCBI's taxonomy places the organism in Eukaryota, Metazoa, Arthropoda, Arachnida, Scorpiones, Buthidae. The transcript has 4 exons.